GAGGAUGGGUAAGUCGCAGGGAUGUCGUGACCAUCCUGGUGGCCACAGUUAACAAUAUUGCAUUCUAUGUUUGCAAAUCACUAACAGAGUAGAUCUUAAAAGUUCUCACCACAAAAAGACAUUUGUAACUAUGAUGAAUGUUACCUAACCUUACUGUGGUAAUCACAAUAGCUACCGAUAGCAAAUCAUUUUGUUGGAUACCUGAAACUAAUGUAAUUUGAUAUGUCAGUAAUACCUCAAUAGUAGCACAGGCACUUAUAUCCAAUCUCUUGCAAUGAAACAUGAAGGAAGACACUAUGAGAAAAAGAAUGCAUAUAUAUAUAUAGAGAGAGAGAGAAAGGUCACUUUGCCACACAGCAGAAAUUGGCACAACAUGACAUCACGGAGCCCCUGGUGGCUGGUGUGACUUUGCCAUGGGCAGGCUCCAUGCCAAUAGCUGACUGCAUUUAAAGAACCAAGGGUCGGGUUUGAUUAGUUGCAAAGAUAUUUGAAAUAUUAAAGGGAGUUUCCAUUGUUGCUCAGCGAGUUGUGGACCUGACUAGUACCAUGAGGAUGUGUGUUAGAUCCCUGGCCUUGCUCAGUGGGUUAAGGAGCUGGCCUUGCCGCUAGCUGAGCAUAGGUUGCAGACGCAGCUUGGAUCCCACAUUGCUGUGGCUAUGGUGUAGGCUGGCAGCUGCAGCUCCAAUGCGACCCCUAGCCUGGAAACUUCCAUAUGCCGCAGGUGCAGCCCUAAAAGGCAAAUAUAUAUAUAGUGAAUGGGGCAGGUCUGACCCAAGAGCCAAGAAAAUGCUGCUGAGCGGAAGAAGUUCCGUAUUUUUUUUUUAUUUUUCCUGUACAGCUCUCCCUCCUUCUUCUAAAUAACUGCUUUUUAAAUAAAGUUUUAUUGGAGAUAGUUGAUUUACAAGGUUGUGUUAGUUUCAGGUGUACAGUAAAGUGAUUCAGUUAUACACAUACAUAUAUCCAUUCUUUUUCAGAUUCUUUUCCCAUUAAAGUUACUACAGAAUAUCAAGUAGAGUUCCCUGUGCUGUAUAACAGGUCCUUGUUGGUUAUCUAUUUUAUAUAAUAGUUGUAUGUAUAUGUUAACGCCAAACUCCUAAUUUAUUCCUCCCCUCCACAUUUCCCUUCGUUUACCGUAUGUUUGCUUUCUAUGAGUCUGUUUCUGUUUUGUAAAGAAGUUCAUUUGUAUCAUUUUUUAUUAGAUUCCACAUAGAAAUGAUAUUAUGUGAUGUUUCUCUCGGACUUCAUUGUACAAUGAUCUCUAGGUCCAUCCAUGUUGCUGCAGAUUGGCAUUUUUCAUUCUUUUUUAUUGCUGAGUAACAUGAAUAAACUUAUUUACAAAAUAGACUCACAGAUAUAGAAAGCAAACUUAUGGUUACCAAAGUAGGUAGUAGGAGUGGGAGGGAGAGAUAAAUUGGGAGUUUGGGAUUAACAGAUACACACUACUGAAUUACACAGAUAAACAAGGACCUACUGUAAAGCACAGGAAAUUGUAUCAAUAUUCAGUCUUAUAAUAACAUAUAAUGGGAAAGAAUCUGAAAAAGAAUAUAUGUAUAUAUUUGCAUAUGUAUCAAUAAAUUGCUGUAUACUUGAAACUAACACAGCAUUGUAAAUUUAUUAUACUUCAAUUAAAAAUGUUUGAAAAAAAUAUUUUUUUUUGUUUUUUGUCUUUUGUCCUUUACCCAUGGCAUAUGGAGGUUCCCAGGCUAGGGGUCGAAUCAGAGGCGUAGCUGCUGGCCUACACCACAGCCACAGCAACACCAGAUCUGAGGUACGUCUGCGACCUACACCACAGCUCACGGCAAGGCUGGCUUAACCCACUGAGCGAGGCCAGGGAUCGAACCCGGAACCUCAUGGUUCCUAGUUGGAUUCGUUUCUGCUGUGCCACGACGGGAACUCCUGAAAAAAAAUUUUAAGAAUAUCACUUAAGAUACAGUCAAUUAAUUACUUGCCUAUGACUCACAUAUGGCCCUGGCUAGAAGUUUAUGUUUUUUUUAGUGCAUUGCUAGGCGAAAUGUUAAAAAAAUGCUGUCACUGGAAAACAUAUGUGGAGUGUCAACUAGUGACGUGCAGAGCCUUUUCCUGGUCAUGAGAUUUGAACAGUAUUUUGUGUAGAAAACAUUUGGGAACAAGGCAGGGGUAGAAUGGACUCUAUAUGAACUUUCUCCGUGGGGUGGCGCUCUUACCAUCUGACACAGGAGUUGGAAAUCAGGCGUAGGUAUGAAACAAGUGUGCCUGGACCGUCCCAAAGCAUAGAUAAUUGAGAGAGCACUCAUGAUUCUGUAAUGUAGAAAAAAUCGUAUUCAUAGCCUUAAAUUAGAGAAACUCAGCUUGACCGGAUGAAAAGUCUGAGGGAAACAUUCAGAAAAAGUCGGCUUUAUUAACUACACAGUAGGACGGGGAGACGUGUGGUUGUACAACUUGAAAUGAAUACAAAUAAUUUGUGGUUAUCAUAUUUAUUAUUAAAACAAAAAGGCUGCUGCUCAGAUGGUAUUUGGAAAAAAGCAUGUCAUCUUUGCUUAUGGAUGCGUUUAUUCAAAUGUCAUAUAUUCAAAAAUACAUUUAUGUAUUGUAUGUAUAUGCUAUAUUAUAUAUAAUAUAUAUAAUCUCAGUAUGUGCUCAUGUAUUCUUUUUUCUACUAGUUUCAUGGUGAUAUGAAUUACAUAAUUAAAGUCACUUUUUUUUUUCUUUUUAUGGCCACACCUGCGGCAUAUGGAAGUUUCCGGGUGUAGGGGUCAAAUCAGAGCUGCUGUUACAGACUACACAGCCAUGGCUACACCAGACUGGAGCCACAUCUGCGACCUGCCCUGCAGCUUGCAGCAAUGCUGGAUGCUUAACACACUGAUUGAGGCCAGGAAUUGAACCUGUAUCCUCGCAAAGACGGUGUCGGGGCUUUAACCUGGUGAGCCACAGUGGAAACUCCAAGUCACCAUUUUUAAGUGUACAAUUUAAUGGUUUUAGUAAAUUCCUGGAGUUUUGCACCAUCACUGCAAUCCAGUUUUAUAACAUUUCCAUUACUCCCCAAAGAUCCCUUGUGCCUACUUCCAGUUACUCUCCAUUCCCACACCCAACUCCAAUCUUGGUAGAGUUAUUUUUCUGGAUGCGAUGCUGGGGACCAUAUCUUCUGUGUCCUACCCUCAAGUAAAACGACUAGAACAGGGGACCCACCUUUUGAUACUUUAGUCACUACCUUGGUUAAGGCAAGCUUUCUGCUGAGAGAAAUGACUGCAUGGAAAGCUUAGAACUCAAAGAGAUCUCUGAAGAUCUUCUCUUUAGGGAAGCAGUACAGUUUAAGUGUGAGCUCUGGAAUGAGGCACAUGCUUGGGUUUAACGCCUAGCUCUACUGCCUUCUGGAAGCGUGACCACAGCAAAAUAAUUUAACCUCUCUAAAGUGUUCGUUUCUUCGUAUGUAAAAAUAGGGUUGUUGGAACACAGCAGGAAGUAAUGUCCACAUAGUGCCUGGCAUCCCAUGUGUAUUCUAUAGACACAUUACUUAUAGCCAUUUUUAACCUUUCUCAUCAAGAAUAGUCUACCCAGUUUUUGACUCUAGUGUAAACUUCAGAAUUUUUCGGCAAUUCAUUGUGCUUCGCUGCAAUUCACUGUGAUGUCGUAUCAUGUUUCCUUUGCAUUUAACCCAGACUUUUGGGUUGUUCACUAAGGAAUAGCUGGAUGCUAUAGAAGGUCAUAUUAUUUCCCGAAAAUAUUCUGACUUUACCGACUACAUGCGUAACUCCGGUGCUUGUGAUUGUUGUGUGGGAGAUACGAAGAAGGUGCAGCGGAGGCAUGAACAACUCACUUGGAAACAAGCAAGUCACCAGAAAUCAAAGGUGAAUUAAACAAGUAUUUAGAGACACAAACAGUGAUGCUUCUACUUGACCAGCAAUUUUGCUCCUGAAUACCUAUUGAAAAGAAAGAAUUUUAAAUGCAGCAAAGAUUUUUGAACAGAGACUUAGCCAAACAUCAAUUAUACUUGGAAAUAGAAGGAGAGGGCUAUUGAGAUAUUCCUUGAAGGAUGAAUGGAAUUUCAAUAUGCAGGAAAUGGCAAGAAAGGGCAUUUCAGAGGAAGUGAACUUCAACUUCAUCCAUUCAUUUAUGUUUUCAUUCAUCAAAUAUGUGAGUGCCUGCUUGUAUCAUCAGCUUUUACUAGAUCAUUCUGAAGUAAAGAACAACACCAAAAAUCUUAGUGGCUUAAAAAAAAAAAAAAAAAAAA
Molecule: long non-coding RNA, 4207 nt
Filed under: Sus scrofa (pig)
Lineage: Eukaryota; Metazoa; Chordata; Mammalia; Artiodactyla; Suidae
Description: lncRNA (ENSSSCG00050054602.1)
Source: RNAcentral